CCUACGGGAGGCAGCAGUGGGGAAUAUUGGGCAAUGGAGGAAACUCUGACCCAGCAACGCCGCGUGAAUGAUGAAGGUCUUCGGAUUGUAAAGUUCUUUUCUAAGGGAAGAAGAAAGUGACGGUACCUUAUGAAUAAGCCUCGGCUAACUACGUGCCAGCAGCCGCGGUAAUACGUAGGAGGCGAGCGUUAUCCGGAAUGACUGGGCGUAAAGGGAGCGUAGGUGGUUUGGCAAGUUAGUAGCGUAACUCCGAGGCUCAACCUUGGAACUACUACUAAAACUGUUGGACUUGAGUGCAGGAUGGGAAACCGGAAUUCCUAGUGUAGCGGUGGAAUGCGUAGAUAUUAGGAGGAACACCGGUGGCGAAGGCGAGUUGCUGGACUGUAACUGACGCUGAGGCACGAAAGCGUGGGGAGCAAACAGGAUUAGAUACCCCUGUAGUC
RNAcentral lists this ribosomal RNA (443 nucleotides) under uncultured bacterium. RNAcentral's name for it is "partial 16S ribosomal RNA". It matches the Rfam family "Bacterial small subunit ribosomal RNA", at positions 338 to 795 of the family's 1533-position model. The record is from RNAcentral.